Molecule: ribosomal RNA, 451 nt
Filed under: uncultured bacterium
Lineage: Bacteria
Description: partial 16S ribosomal RNA
Rfam family: Bacterial small subunit ribosomal RNA
Source: RNAcentral
GUGGGGAAUAUUGGACAAUGGGGGGAACCCUGAUCCAGCCAUGCCGCGUGUGUGAAGAAGGCCUUUUGGUUGUAAAGCACUUUAAGCGAGGAGGAGGCUACCGAGAUUAAUACUCUUGGAUAGUGGACGUUACUCGCAGAAUAAGCACCGGCUAACUCUGUGCCAGCAGCCACGGUAAUACAGAGGGUGCAAGCGUUAAUCGGAUUUACUGGGCGUAAAGCGCGCGUAGGUGGCCAAUUAAGUCAAAUGUGAAAUCCCCGAGCUUAACUUGGGAAUUGCAUUCGAUACUGGUUGGCUAGAGUAUGGGAGAGGAUGGUAGAAUUCCAGGUGUAGCGGUGAAAUGCGUAGAGAUCUGGAGGAAUACCGAUGGCGAAGGCAGCCAUCUGGCCUAAUACUGACACUGAGGUGCGAAAGCAUGGGGAGCAAACAGGAUUAGAAACCCGAGUAGUCC